Molecule: ribosomal RNA, 468 nt
Filed under: uncultured bacterium
Lineage: Bacteria
Description: partial 16S ribosomal RNA
Rfam family: Bacterial small subunit ribosomal RNA
Source: RNAcentral
GACGAACGCUGGCGGCGUGCUUAACACAUGCAAGUCGAACGGAAAGGCCCUGCUUUUGUGGGGUUCUCGAGUGGCGAACGGGUGAGUAACACGUGAGUAACCUGCCCUUUACUUUGGGAUAACUUCAGGAAACUUGGGCUAAUACCGGAUAGUAUCUCCUGCUGCAUGGUGGGGGUUGGAAAGUUUCGGCGGUUGGGGAUGGACUCGCGGCUUAUCAGCUUGUUUGUUGGGUAGUGGCUUACCAAGGCUUUGACGGGUAGCCGGCCUGAGAGGGUGACCGGCCAAAUUGGGACUGAGAUACGGCCCAGAAUCCAACGGGAGGCAGCAGUGGGGAAUAUUGCACAAUGGGCGGAAGCCUGAUGCAGCAACGCCGCGUGCGGGAUGACGGCCUUCGGGUUGUAAACCGCUUUCGCCUGUGACGAAGCGUGAGUGACGGUAAUGGGUAAAGAAGCACCGGCUAACUACGUG